RNAcentral lists this ribosomal RNA (404 nucleotides) under Fusobacteriota bacterium. RNAcentral describes it as "Fusobacteria bacterium partial 16S ribosomal RNA". It matches the Rfam family "Bacterial small subunit ribosomal RNA", at positions 355 to 776 of the family's 1533-position model. Lineage: Bacteria; Fusobacteriati; Fusobacteriota. The record is from RNAcentral.
UGGGGAAUAUUGCACAAUGGAGGGAACUCUGAUGCAGCGACGCCGCGUGAGUGAUGAAGGAAUUCGUUUCGUAAAACUCUGUUCUAUGGGAAGAAAAGGACUGUACCAUAGGAGAAAGCUCCGGCUAAAUACGUGCCAGCAGCCGCGGUAAUACGUAUGGAGCGAGCGUUGUCCGGAAUUAUUGGGCGUAAAGGGUGCGCAGGCGGCUUUACAAGUUGGAUGUGAAAUAUUGUGGCUCAACCACAAACGUGCAUCCAAAACUGCAAAGCUUGAGUUAAGGAGAGGUAAGUGGAAUUCCUGGUGUAGCGGUGGAAUGCGUAGAUAUCAGGAGGAAUACCGGUGGCGAAGGCGACUUACUGGGCUUAAACUGACGCUCAGGCACGAAAGCGUGGGGAGCAAACAGG